This 376-nucleotide ribosomal RNA is filed under the name uncultured bacterium. RNAcentral describes it as "bacterial SSU rRNA". It matches the Rfam family "Bacterial small subunit ribosomal RNA", at positions 524 to 898 of the family's 1533-position model. The record is from RNAcentral.
UACGUAGGUGGCGAGCGUUGUUCGGAUUUACUGGGCGUAAAGGGUCCGCAGGGGGCCGAUCAAGUCCGAUGUGAAAUCCCGGAGCUCAACUCCGGAACUGCAUUGGAAACUGAUAGGCUAGAGUCUCGGAGAGGAGAGUGGAAUUCCAGGUGUAGCGGUGGAAUGCGUAGAUAUCUGGAAGAACACCGAAGGCGAAGGCAGCUCUCUGGACGAGUACUGACCCUCAGGGACGAAAGCGUGGGGAGCAAACAGGAUUAGAUACCCUGGUAGUCCACGCCGUAAACGUUGUGUACUUGAUGUGGGGGGACUUGACCCCCUCCGCGUCGGAGCUAACGCGUUAAGUACACCGCCUGGGAACUACGGCCGCAAGGCUAAA